Mustela lutreola (European mink) is the source of this 3478-nucleotide long non-coding RNA. RefSeq lists it as uncharacterized. The transcript has 8 exons. NCBI's taxonomy places the organism in Eukaryota, Metazoa, Chordata, Mammalia, Carnivora, Mustelidae. The record is from RefSeq and is a predicted model, not a curated record.
UGGAAGGCAGUGUGCGUACUGGAAAGAGGAGAACCCGGGGCAGAAAGCGGAGGAGCAAGCACUCCAACUCGAGAACCCCGAGCGGAAAAGAAGGCUGCAAGGCCGCCAGAGAGGCAGGAGGCAAACCAGGUGGGCGCGGUUGCAUAGACGCUGAGAGGAGCGGGUUUCAAGGAGCAGGCUAUUUAUAACCUCGGUGAGAGCACUGAAGACCGAUUGCAGUGCAUUGCGCAAAUGAGAGACUUUGUCCAGAGUUCAGAGCUGCGGGCAGAGCUGCUGCAGAGGAAGCCACGGCCACGGGCAGGAAGACAGACGCUCCUGGUGCCCCCAGUGAGGCAGGCAGGAGCAGUCGUGUGUUCACUCAGCAAACGCUGAUGAAGCACUUCAAAGUGCCAAGUGUUGUGCCAGGUUCUGAGGACUCCCAGAGGAAUAAGGCCUGGGCCUUUGUGCUUGUGGGGGAGGAAGGAAAAUAAACAAGACCGUGAUGCAUCUCAGUUGGGACUAGUGACAUUUCAGGUGUUCAGUGCAAUGUGUGGCUGGUGGUUACCUCAUCCUGGGAAGGUCUUGGUAUCUUUCAAACGGCAACAAUAUAGCUGAAGCCGGAGCAACUGGCUGACAAGCGCCUUCCACAUAAAGAUACCCAUGCACCAUGCAGGAAAUGUGCGUGUGUACGGUGGGCUGAGAGAUUCUGGAACGGGAACGAACCUUGCCUAGCCUUCCUCCUUUGAUGCCUCGGCACAAUGACUCGGGAGCUCCGGUGCCAGACCUUCCAGUUAGAUAGAAAUGCAGUUGUCGCUGAUGCUGAUCUUUGCGGCUACGUUCUUAAGCCCUAAACUCCACAUUGACCGUCUCCUUUUUACUCUCCUUGGUUGCGUCCUCUCCUCGGUCCGUGGUUUGGAGGUUAGAAAGAAAGGAGGAGAGAAGUGAGAGCGGAGUCAGGAGAAGAGAUGAAGCAGUGGUUAAGGCACUAGGCCUGCGGAGCCCUCUGGAGAAAUCUGCACACAGUUAAGCCAGUAACCAGAAUUAAAUCUGACUAAGGAAAAAUCAGCACUCUACUGCUUCGUCUGCUGGCACUGACAUUAAGUAAGAGCUGGCUUGGGAGGGACUGGUUGUAAAUAAGGGGGCACUUGCUAGUCAACCCGAUUUUAUGUUUGUCAGAGUCCUUGGUUGGUCUGGAAAGAUUUCUCUUUGGCCAUAGGACUCAGACCUUUUCUUGCUUUGUGAUACUUGUCCUGCCUCCCUAAAGAGAACUCUGGCUUUUGCCCUUUUUCUCUGAAGGCACAGCCCUCUCCCUAGCGCUCUACUCGCCAACUGGGAUCAUCAUAUUUACAUUACAUUGCAUUACAAGACAUUACAUUAUAUUAUAUUACAUUAUGAAUGGGGGAGGGGCAGAGGGAGAGAAUCUCAAGCAGACUCUAUGGUGAGUGGGGAGCAGGGCUCGAUCCCACAACCCUGAGAUCAUGACCUGAGCUGAAAUCAUGAUUCGGACGCUUAACCGACUGAGCCACUCAGGUGCCCCAACCGGGAUCACUACUGUCAUCAUUGUAUCAUCAUUUUCUUUUUUCUCUUCCCACCUUCCAGAGUUAUUUGGUCAGACCUGCUAUUGUUAAAAUGUGUUCUCCCUUGUGUGUUAAAGUGGCUUCCCUGGCCCUCAGUGAGUACAGCCUGUGCUUGGCGAUCCUCUCCAUGCUGCGGGGAAGGGUCCACCUAACAUCAUCCACACCCUCUGUCCUCGUCUGUGUCCUCCCAUAGAGCAGUGUGAAAUGUAAAAUGGUGAAGAGGUGUUAGGGCUUCAGCCUGACCUAUUGAACUGAGCAACACCGGGUGAGCCAAAUGGCCAUUCAGUCCAGGCUCUUGGUCUCAUCAAUACCAUGUUCAAGCAAGCAUGCUAAGAGCCAACACGUCCAACCAGAUAAGUUGAAACACAUAUGAAACACGUAUCAGAUUCUCUUCUGAUCCACCAACACAGGGGUCUCCCAGGUCCUGAGCAUGUUCCGUCUGUACAAACAUUUGCAGCAUCAGCCCUGAGAAUGGACCUGCUGAACCAUUUGCAUUUCGUGAAGUAUUUUUAUAGAUUUUUCUUUGGGUAUGUCUUGGCAUAAAUGAAACAACAGACUUAACAUUUUAAGAGAAAUUCUCAUUCUACUGCAGUUAUUUGCAGCCUUCAUUUCUCGUCUAUAAAAAUUUAGCAGAUACGUGAAGAUCAUGGGUAGAAUGAAAUUAAGUUUUACCACCCACAAUAAUUCAUUAGCGAACUAGUGUAUUUAAUGGGUCUUUGCUUGGUGUGUCUAAAAUUAUUUCAUCAUAACAAAAGGUCUUGAAAGACUAAGAAAAAGUAUGAGGACAAUUAAGUUGCCUAUCUGAACAGUAUUACUGUAUGAAAGGAAAACAGUCUUAAAAAUAGCUCAUUGUAGAGUUGAAAGAGAUGGAGAAAUUCAUAAAGGAAGCACAAAGGUGUUGGAAAUGGAAUGAAAACCUUUUAAAAAAUACCACCAGGGCACUUGUUCUUUGCCAAAUCAGAGUCCCUGAUUUUUACAAUCUCUCAUGCUUCCAUUUCAUCUGUUGUGGGGAAGGGGUCUGUGUGUGUGUGUGUGUGUGUGUGUGAGACUUGCUUCAGAUAGAAGCCUAAGCAAACUUAUUUCCCUGCUCUAAAAGGCAACCCUUUGUCCCUCCCAAAUCUAUAGGAAAGCUUUGUAUUCUUCACAUUUGAAACCUACUAAUUAAGAAUCUGACACUGUCUAUGAAAAAAAGCCAACAGGACAGGGAGACAGGAGGGACGAUUUAACAGACUUUGCUCCGUCCUCUCAUAGCGCCCCCUACAUAACGUUGGCCUUAGGGGGGUUUUAGCAGCCACUAGUGGAGACCCUCUUUUCCAGAUAGAGACUAUGGAGCCAGGAGACGGUGGGUGAUUUGCUCCAGGCCAGGCAACCAGGGAGUGGCCCAGAAGGAGAGCGCAGCCUGGUGCCCUCCCUCACUGUAGCUCCUGGACACCCGCGUUCACUUCAGCACAAAUCCAUUUGUACAGCUAUUUGUCUUUAUUAAUGCAUCAAAUUGAAAGAAAUAACAUUCCUUCAAAAUGUCCUCUAAUGCAGAAUUUGCAGAGAGAACAUUUCAACGCGGCGUCCUUCGUGCUCCAUCCUGAGCCCAGCUGCUUGUGUUGUUAUUUUCUGGACUUCAGAAAUUUUUUAAGUGAUAAAUAAUCAUCUUGUGAAAGGUCAAGAGAAAGGAGGGCGUGAAAUCUGGAUUUCGUACGUGUUCCGCUAUGUCGUUACAGUCAUUCAGCACUUAUCUCUGUGCUUGGCAUUUGGUAUGUGGUGGGAUGGAUUAAAAAAACCAAACCAACAACAACCAAAAACCAGACCAGAAGGACCCCGUAAUCAAUUUUUAGGCUGAAGGAAACAAAACAAACAAAAAAACCCCUAGAAAUUAGAGAUCACCCAGAUGCAGAGAAGGACUAAACGGACUGGAACCAGAGGGAGGC